UUUAUCCCGAACCUGAGAGGAAGGACUUACAGACAUAGAGGCAUAGAGUGUCCUUCCUCCUGUUUCUUCUAUUCUUCUAACCCCUUGAAUGAAAUCUAAAUUUAGAGCUUCCAAAUAUAAACAUUUUCAGAAGAUUCAACAAUGAUUCUAAAUGUCCAUAAUUAUGUCUUUAGACCUUUUUAGUCUUCUCUUUUACAACAAAAGGAACAAUUCUUCGUCCAUUAUCAUUUCUUGUUUUGUCUGCAGGGUAACGGGGGUUGCUGGUGACCAUCCCGGCUACCUUUGGAUGAAAGCGGGGGGCAGUUUGGAGGCACCCAUCAACCCAAAAAGCCGGUUUUUGGACUGUGGGAGGAAGUGAGAGUGCGCGGAAAAAAAACACACAGGCAGGGAGAACAUGUGAACUCUGCACAGAAAAGACGCAGCUGGGAUUCAAACCAGGGCCUCAACACCACACUUCCAUACAGCCAGAAGGGGGAACGGUGAUGUCUGGAAGGGAAAAAGUCAAAUAUGGCAAGCCUUGACAUGAAAUAUGAAACCCCUGUGUCUGCCUAAUAUGCCAAAAAGACGGUGUUCUCCAGGAGUUCAGCAUCAAGAGGCACCACCAGGUGAGACAUGCUAACUACAACAAAAUAACUAGGAAACAUUGCACAUGUACAAAUUGACAAUAGUUUGGGUAAAAAUGUAUGUAUAUGUGUUUGUCUUCUUUGUGAAGAAAUGAAAAGUAUGCCACUGCAAUAAAAUGUCCCUUGGUUAAUUUGCAUUUAAUGUUAUUAAACUAGUUUAAAGAAGCUCAGGCUGAAGGAUUGGCCCUCAGUUUUUUUCAUGUCUGGGACAAAAUACACACAUUUAUUUAUUAAAAAUCAAACAGUGGGAUUGCUGUGAUACAAGUUACUAAAAAGCAAUGACUGAAAUUUUCAUAACUAAUUAGUACUUUUUGCAGUAACUGCACAUUGUAACACAUUACUGUGAAACUUUAAUGCAUUACUCCGUACACUGAUCAUGAACUUUAAUACUUUUAAAACAAUGGCUUUGUAUGAUUUCUUUGAUCAUUUUUAUCAGUAUGUCCCUUACUCUUAGUUCAAGAUUUUAUUAAGUAUUGUAAUUUUCCUGUGUGACAGAGCAACAUGUUUCUGAGUCACCAGCUAACUAAUCUUUGUCCACAAGAGGGCAGCCUGAUUCAACAAACCAGGAAGAAGGAGCUCUGCAUUACCUAGGUGCAUUCCUCUACCAUUUUCCUGUUUA
Long non-coding RNA from Oryzias latipes (Japanese medaka), 1242 nucleotides. RefSeq lists it as uncharacterized. The record is from RefSeq and is a predicted model, not a curated record. Lineage: Eukaryota; Metazoa; Chordata; Actinopteri; Beloniformes; Adrianichthyidae.